Ensifer sp. LCM 4579 is the source of this 124-nucleotide non-coding RNA. The record is from Rfam. NCBI's taxonomy places the organism in Bacteria, Pseudomonadati, Pseudomonadota, Alphaproteobacteria, Hyphomicrobiales, Rhizobiaceae.
GGAAUUCGACGCGACGUCAUCCUCCUCCCGGCGUCGCAUCGAUAAGAUUGGCAACACUCCUCCUCCCGGUUGCCAAUCGCCUAUAUGGCGCCCGCCGGACCUCCUCCCCCGGCGGGCGUUAUUU